UGUGAUAGGGGACUCUAAGUGCUUUGCUUUUGCAAGGCUUUUUUCAAGAGCAAAUAUCUUGAAGAAUAAGUGGUGGGCAAUACCUGUGCCAGCCGCCGCGGUAAUCCAGGAACCACAAGUGGCAGCCACGUUUAUUGGGCCUAAAGCGUCCGUAGCAGGUUUAGUAAAUUUUCUGUGAAAUCAUUAAGCUUAACUUAAUGGCACGCAGAAAAGACUGCUAGACUUGAGAUUGGGAGGAGUCAGAGGUAUUUUGGGGGGAGCGGUAAAAUGCUAUAAUCCUCAAAAGACCACCUGUGGCGAAGGCGUCUGACUAGAACAAAUCUGACUGUGAGGGACGAAAGCUAGGGGAGCAAUCCGGAUUAGAUACAGCUUUUUGCGUUAGCAAAAACCUGGGAAAAAUCCAGUAAGUGUACCAAGCAUAUUGUGAUUGCAUUAAAAGAACUACAAUAGAGCAUGGUUUUUAUCGCAAAAAAGUUGCUAACUACCCGAGUAGUCCUAGCUGUAAACGCUGCGAGCUAGGUGUUGCAUAAUCUUCGUGAUUAUGCAGUGUCGAAGCGAAGGUGAUAAGCUCGCCGCCUGGGGAGUACGGCCGCAAGACUGAAACUUAAAGGAGUUGGCGGGGGAGCACUACAAGGGGUGCGGCGUGCGGUUUAAUCUAAUUCAACGCAGAGAAACUCACCAGGAGCGACGGCAGGAUGAAGGUCAGGUUAAAGGCCUUACCUGACGAGCCGAGAGGUAGUGCAUGGCCGUCGUCAGCUCGUGCCGUGAGGUGUCCUGUUAGCGGUGUCCUGUGAAUCAUGAUCAGGAUAUUUUUGAGGACAUCGGCAGAGAGUCAGGCAACGAGCGAGACCUGCACUCAUAAUUGCUAACAGCUCUUAUAGAGGACUGAGCACAUUAUGAGGACUGCCUUUGAAAAAAGGAGGAAGGUGCAGGCUACGGUAGGUCUGUAUGCUCCGAAUCUUCUGGGCUACACGCGCGCAACAAUGGUACGGACAAUGGGAUGCAACUCCGAAAGGAGAAGCUAAUCUUCGAAACCGUAUCUCGGUCCAGAAUUGAGGAUUGUAACUCAUCCUCAUGACGUUGGAAUCCCUAGUAAUCAGG
RNAcentral lists this ribosomal RNA (1101 nucleotides) under uncultured euryarchaeote. RNAcentral describes it as "bacterial SSU rRNA". It matches the Rfam family "Archaeal small subunit ribosomal RNA", at positions 366 to 1302 of the family's 1478-position model. Lineage: Archaea; Methanobacteriati; Methanobacteriota. The record is from RNAcentral.